CCCUAUGGGGUGCUGUCGAGGAAGGAUUCCGCCGCAAGCCUGGCGAAACGCUCCCGUCCCCCCGGCGUCAGGACGUAGCCGCCGUUGGGGGUCCUUUCAAGCAAGGCUUCCCUUUCCAGGCGACCGAGGCCGCCGGGGUCCUCGCCUGCCAGGCCUGCCAGGCUUUCGGACCAGCAGGGGCGGUUCUUGUCGAAAAGCAGCAGCAGGCUCGAGUCCUCCAUCCGUUUCUCCCCGCCGCGUGAUAGAUUAGUGGCGAACGACAGGUAAAGGAGGUCGUCGCCGUGGCGCCGUCCCUUUUCUGGUUCCUGCUUUCCAUCGGGGGCAUCGUCGAGACAUCCCUUUGUCUGAGGCAGUGGGGUUGGCUCGACCGCAUCGACCGUAACAUUCCCCCGGCCCUUGCCCCUCUUUUGCCCGAGGGGUACGGCUGGUGGCGGGGGGGC
This 440-nucleotide ribosomal RNA is filed under the name uncultured prokaryote. RNAcentral's name for it is "partial 16S ribosomal RNA". The record is from RNAcentral.